UGCAAGUCGAACGCUUUGUGGUUCAACUGAUUUGAAGAGCUUGCUCAGAUAUGACGAUGGACAUUGCAAAGAGUGGCGAACGGGUGAGUAACACGUGGGAAACCUACCUCUUAGCAGGGGAUAACAUUUGGAAACAGAUGCUAAUACCGUAUAACAAUGACAACCGCAUGGUUGUUAUUUAAAAGAUGGUUCUGCUAUCACUAAGAGAUGGUCCCGCGGUGCAUUAGCUAGUUGGUAAGGUAAUGGCUUACCAAGGCGAUGAUGCAUAGCCGAGUUGAGAGACUGAUCGGCCACAAUGGGACUGAGACACGGCCCAUACUCCUACGGGAGGCAGCAGUAGGGAAUCUUCCACAAUGGGCGAAAGCCUGAUGGAGCAACGCCGCGUGUGUGAUGAAGGGUUUCGGCUCGUAAAACACUGUUGUAAGAGAAGAAUGACAUUGAGAGUAACUGUUCAAUGUGUGACGGUAUCUUACCAGAAAGGAACGGCUAAAUACGUGCCAGCAGCCGCGGUAAUACGUAUGUUCCAAGCGUUAUCCGGAUUUAUUGGGCGUAAAGCGAGCGCAGACGGUUAUUUAAGUCUGAAGUGAAAGCCCUCAGCUCAACUGAGGAAUUGCUUUGGAAACUGGAUGACUUGAGUGCAGUAGAGGAAAGUGGAACUCCAUGUGUAGCGGUGAAAAUGCGUAGAUAUAUGGAAGAACACCAGUGGCGAAGGCGGCUUUCUGGACUGUAACUGACGUUGAGGCUCGAAAGUGUGGGUAGCAAACAGGAUUAGAUACCCUGGUAGUCCACACCGUAAACGAUGAGUGCUAGGUGUUUGAGGGUUUCCGCCCUUAAGUGCCGCAGCUAACGCAUUAAGCACUCCGCCUGGGGAGUACGACCGCAAGGUUGAAACUCAAAGGAAUUGACGGGGACCCGCACAAGCGGUGGAGCAUGUGGUUUAAUUCGAAGCAACGCGAAGAACCUUACCAGGUCUUGACAUCCCUUGACAACUCCAGAGAUGGAGCGUUCCCUUCGGGGACAAGGUGACAGGUGGUGCAUGGUUGUCGUCAGCUCGUGUCGUGAGAUGUUGGGUUAAGUCCCGCAACGAGCGCAACCCUUAUUACUAGUUGCCAGCAUUCAGUUGGGCACUCUAGUGAGACUGCCGGUGACAAACCGGAGGAAGGUGGGGAUGACGUCAAAUCAUCAUGCCCCUUAUGACCUGGGCUACACACGUGCUACAAUGGCGUAUACAACGAGUUGCCAACCCGCGAGGGUGAGCUAAUCUCUUAAAGUACGUCUCAGUUCGGAUUGUAGGCUGCAACUCGCCUACAUGAAGUCGGAAUCGCUAGUAAUCGCGGAUCAGCACGCCGCGGUGAAUACGUUCCCGGGUCUUGUACACACCGCCCGUCACACCAUGAGAGUUUGUAACACCCAAAGCCGGUGGGGUAACCUUCGGGAGCCAGCCGUCU
RNAcentral lists this ribosomal RNA (1448 nucleotides) under Weissella confusa. RNAcentral describes it as "bacterial SSU rRNA". It matches the Rfam family "Bacterial small subunit ribosomal RNA". Lineage: Bacteria; Bacillati; Bacillota; Bacilli; Lactobacillales; Lactobacillaceae. The record is from RNAcentral.